RNAcentral lists this ribosomal RNA (101 nucleotides) under Acanthosepion pharaonis. The record is from RNAcentral. Lineage: Eukaryota; Metazoa; Mollusca; Cephalopoda; Sepiida; Sepiidae.
GCAUUGAAACACCAGCUUCUGUAUGAUCACCGAAGUUAAACAACAUCGAGCCUGGUCAGUACCUAGAUGGGUGACUGCUUGGAAAUACCAGGUGCUGUAAG